Molecule: unclassified non-coding RNA, 306 nt
Filed under: Hevea brasiliensis (rubber tree)
Lineage: Eukaryota; Viridiplantae; Streptophyta; Magnoliopsida; Malpighiales; Euphorbiaceae
Source: RNAcentral
AUCUGAGUGUUGCACUUGGCACCCAGGGUCCCAGACUCCAAUAACGGUUUUUGAAAAUACAAACAUCUCUGAUCAAUGUAAAGCCUGGCAUUCACAUUAUCUAGUGCAUUGACCACAACACUCAAAUUCUCCCAGAACGUAUCAUCAAAUACACUUUCUGUUUCAGGGCUUGCGCGGUUUUGCAGUGCUUCAAUGCGAAUGCGAGGAUUGAUCAAAGAAGCAGCGGCAGCAGCAACAGUAGAUUUGGCUUGCCCAAUGUUCCAGUCACGGAAGAGGAAUUGCCUACUGAGAUUACUCUUCUCAAUG